UCACAUUUCUAACUCCAACUGCUCACUUCCCCUCCUUGGCAUAUCCUCACCUUCACAGCUCAGUUCUUUUUCUCUCUUUUCAACCCUUCUUUCAACUCUCACCCCCAACCCUCUCACCCCUUUGGAAUAACAAGUUAUUUCCUCUUUCAUUUCCUCUUACAGAAGAUGUUUUUGGACCCAUUCCAGAAAGUCUUUGGCAUGAAAGCGUACCCAUGCGGUUCUGAGUUUCCUUUGGGCACAUUUCCAGAGGUGUUUCAUCGGCCUGGAGCCCUCCGCCUUCACACCAAGUUAAGCCUGGCUCUGUCAAUCAUGUUCGUCAUCCCUCCAGCAUUCCUGGUCAUCCAGAAGGAAGUUAGACAGUUGCAUCUAAACUGGAAGGAAAUUCGUGUCAAAAUUUCUGACUAAAAUUAAGUGUUUUCUACUUCUAGAAUUAGGAAAGUUAUGGGGCUAAUCAUAUUAAUUUGUCCUUUCAUGUGUAUUAGAGAGUUAUUAUCCUCUAUGACUAAUAAAACAGACUAAAAACUUUA
Marmota monax (woodchuck) is the source of this 527-nucleotide long non-coding RNA. RefSeq lists it as uncharacterized. The transcript has 2 exons. NCBI's taxonomy places the organism in Eukaryota, Metazoa, Chordata, Mammalia, Rodentia, Sciuridae. The record is from RefSeq and is a predicted model, not a curated record.